AACGUCCAUACCACGUUGGAUACACCGGUUCUCGUCCAAUCACCAAAGUUAAGCAGCUUCGGGCGCGGUCAGCACUCGGAUGGGUGAUCGCCGGGACACACCGCGUGAUGUU
This is a non-coding RNA of Eumeta japonica, 112 nucleotides long. NCBI's taxonomy places the organism in Eukaryota, Metazoa, Arthropoda, Insecta, Lepidoptera, Psychidae. The record is from the annotation of a GenBank genome assembly.